AGCUGGAAUCGCUAGUAAUCGCGGAUCAGAAUGCCGCGGUGAAUACGUUCCCGGGUCUUGUACACACCGCCCGUCACACCAUGGGAGGUCGGAAAUGCCCGAAGCCGGUGACCUAACCUUUCAGGAAGGAGCCGUCGAAGGCAGGUCUGAUAACUGGGGUGAAGUCGUAACAAGGUAGC
RNAcentral lists this ribosomal RNA (179 nucleotides) under uncultured bacterium. RNAcentral describes it as "partial 16S ribosomal RNA". It matches the Rfam family "Bacterial small subunit ribosomal RNA", at positions 1324 to 1500 of the family's 1533-position model. The record is from RNAcentral.